This 445-nucleotide ribosomal RNA is filed under the name uncultured bacterium. Its description in RNAcentral is "bacterial SSU rRNA". It matches the Rfam family "Bacterial small subunit ribosomal RNA", at positions 331 to 793 of the family's 1533-position model. The record is from RNAcentral.
CCAGACUCCUACGGGAGGCAGCAGUGGGGAAUAUUGCACAAUGGGGGAAACCCUGAUGCAGCGACGCCGCGUGAGUGAAGACGUAUUUCGGUAUGUAAAGCUCUAUCAGCAGGGAAGAAAAUGACGGUACCUGAUUAAGAAGCCCCGGCUACCUACGUGCCAGCAGCCGCGGUAAUACGUAGGGGGCAAGCGUUAUCCGGAUUUACUGGGUGUAAAGGGAGCGUAGACGGUGAUGCAAGUCAGAAGUGAAAGCCCGGGGCUCAACGCCGGGACUGCUUUUGAAACUGGGUGACUGGAGUGCAGGAGAGGUAAGCGGAAUUCCUGGUGUAGCGGUGAAAUGCGUAGAUAUCAGGAGGAACACCAGUGGCGAAGGCGACUUUCUGGACAAUAACUGACGUUGAGGCACGAAAGUGUGGGGAGCAAACAGGAUUAGAUACCCUAGUAU